AAAAAAUUACACUACUUGAAAUAAAAAAAAAAACCCGAAAAAAAACAGAAUAAAAAAACCGAAAAAAAAAUAAAGUUAAAAAAAGAUAAUGGACAAACUUGCGUACAGAAAAUAGUUGAGGGUGUAAAGUGAAUAUCAUGGGCGGCUCUUUAGGUGUGCGGGGAAGACUUUCGCACAAGGCCCGUUUUUUCGAGGGGCACGAGAUUUUUUUAAAAAAUUCGAUAUAUAUAUGUUAUUUAAAAAAAAAUUGUAUACACAUAACAAAUCCAAUAUAGAGGCCUAUUAUCAAAAGAUUUGUACUUUUUAUAAGUUAUCCAACUUAACAAUAGUUUUAUUGGGCCCAAUUCAAUACUAAAAUGAUUAAAAAAACAAAAAUACGCAGCAGGAAACUAGGAAACUGGACGGACGAAGCAGAAAAAUCGAACGGCAGGACUGCAGGAAAAUCGAACGACGAUUCGGAAAUACGCGGCAGAAAAUUGGCGAUUCAGUGAAACACGUUGAAGAUCAGUUAUUGCGGUUCUGAACUUUGAUGAACUUUGAUAGCAUAAAUAUAUUUGAGUAUAUGUGUAUUGGAAUUUGGAAGAUAUACCAUGUAAUAUACUUGUUCGAUUCCAGAAACAAAAGUCCAAGAGAAACAAUACCCUAUAUCAUCAUAUUCAUAUUUAUAGAACUGUUCGUAAGUUCGUAAAUAUGGGUUGGCGAUGAUAGCUAUCGAGAACGAAGUCUUAGAUAAUAUAAAUUGUGAAGAGUUAAUCCAACAAUUUGCUAUGAAGAUUGCAAGAAGGGCUGCACGAAUCAUUGGUUAGCUAUUAACUUAUUAUUUUUUACGGUAUGUAACUCAUUAGAAUACUAUGAUUUUGUCAUUAUUGUAAUUGCAUUGUUUAUCAAAUACUACAAUUUUUGGUAUUUUCGUAAUUAUGUUGUUUAUCGUUAAA
Helianthus annuus (common sunflower) is the source of this 935-nucleotide long non-coding RNA. RefSeq lists it as uncharacterized. NCBI's taxonomy places the organism in Eukaryota, Viridiplantae, Streptophyta, Magnoliopsida, Asterales, Asteraceae. The record is from RefSeq and is a predicted model, not a curated record. The transcript is spliced from 2 exons.